Molecule: ribosomal RNA, 2832 nt
Filed under: Escherichia coli
Lineage: Bacteria; Pseudomonadati; Pseudomonadota; Gammaproteobacteria; Enterobacterales; Enterobacteriaceae
Description: partial 23S ribosomal RNA
Rfam family: Bacterial large subunit ribosomal RNA
Source: RNAcentral
GUUAAGCGACUAAGCGUACACGGUGGAUGCCCUGGCAGUCAGAGGCGAUGAAGGACGUGCUAAUCUGCGAUAAGCGUCGGUAAGGUGAUAUGAACCGUUAUAACCGGCGAUUUCCGAAUGGGGAAACCCAGUGUGUUUCGACACACUAUCAUUAACUGAAUCCAUAGGUUAAUGAGGCGAACCGGGGGAACUGAAACAUCUAAGUACCCCGAGGAAAAGAAAUCAACCGAGAUUCCCCCAGUAGCGGCGAGCGAACGGGGAGGAGCCCAGAGCCUGAAUCAGUGUGUGUGUUAGUGGAAGCGUCUGGAAAGGCGCGCGAUACAGGGUGACAGCCCCGUACACAAAAAUGCACAUGCUGUGAGCUCGAUGAGUAGGGCGGGACACGUGGUAUCCUGUCUGAAUAUGGGGGGACCAUCCUCCAAGGCUAAAUACUCCUGACUGACCGAUAGUGAACCAGUACCGUGAGGGAAAGGCGAAAAGAACCCCGGCGAGGGGAGUGAAAAAGAACCUGAAACCGUGUACGUACAAGCAGUGGGAGCACGCUUAGGCGUGUGACUGCGUACCUUUUGUAUAAUGGGUCAGCGACUUAUAUUCUGUAGCAAGGUUAACCGAAUAGGGGAGCCGAAGGGAAACCGAGUCUUAACUGGGCGUUAAGUUGCAGGGUAUAGACCCGAAACCCGGUGAUCUAGCCAUGGGCAGGUUGAAGGUUGGGUAACACUAACUGGAGGACCGAACCGACUAAUGUUGAAAAAUUAGCGGAUGACUUGUGGCUGGGGGUGAAAGGCCAAUCAAACCGGGAGAUAGCUGGUUCUCCCCGAAAGCUAUUUAGGUAGCGCCUCGUGAAUUCAUCUCCGGGGGUAGAGCACUGUUUCGGCAAGGGGGUCAUCCCGACUUACCAACCCGAUGCAAACUGCGAAUACCGGAGAAUGUUAUCACGGGAGACACACGGCGGGUGCUAACGUCCGUCGUGAAGAGGGAAACAACCCAGACCGCCAGCUAAGGUCCCAAAGUCAUGGUUAAGUGGGAAACGAUGUGGGAAGGCCCAGACAGCCAGGAUGUUGGCUUAGAAGCAGCCAUCAUUUAAAGAAAGCGUAAUAGCUCACUGGUCGAGUCGGCCUGCGCGGAAGAUGUAACGGGGCUAAACCAUGCACCGAAGCUGCGGCAGCGACGCUUAUGCGUUGUUGGGUAGGGGAGCGUUCUGUAAGCCUGUGAAGGUGUGCUGUGAGGCAUGCUGGAGGUAUCAGAAGUGCGAAUGCUGACAUAAGUAACGAUAAAGCGGGUGAAAAGCCCGCUCGCCGGAAGACCAAGGGUUCCUGUCCAACGUUAAUCGGGGCAGGGUGAGUCGACCCCUAAGGCGAGGCCGAAAGGCGUAGUCGAUGGGAAACAGGUUAAUAUUCCUGUACUUGGUGUUACUGCGAAGGGGGGACGGAGAAGGCUAUGUUGGCCGGGCGACGGUUGUCCCGGUUUAAGCGUGUAGGCUGGUUUUCCAGGCAAAUCCGGAAAAUCAAGGCUGAGGCGUGAUGACGAGGCACUACGGUGCUGAAGCAACAAAUGCCCUGCUUCCAGGAAAAGCCUCUAAGCAUCAGGUAACAUCAAAUCGUACCCCAAACCGACACAGGUGGUCAGGUAGAGAAUACCAAGGCGCUUGAGAGAACUCGGGUGAAGGAACUAGGCAAAAUGGUGCCGUAACUUCGGGAGAAGGCACGCUGAUAUGUAGGUGAAGUCCCUCGCGGAUGGAGCUGAAAUCAGUCGAAGAUACCAGCUGGCUGCAACUGUUUAUUAAAAACACAGCACUGUGCAAACACGAAAGUGGACGUAUACGGUGUGACGCCUGCCCGGUGCCGGAAGGUUAAUUGAUGGGGUCAGCGCAAGCGAAGCUCUUGAUCGAAGCCCCGGUAAACGGCGGCCGUAACUAUAACGGUCCUAAGGUAGCGAAAUUCCUUGUCGGGUAAGUUCCGACCUGCACGAAUGGCGUAAUGAUGGCCAGGCUGUCUCCACCCGAGACUCAGUGAAAUUGAACUCGCUGUGAAGAUGCAGUGUACCCGCGGCAAGACGGAAAGACCCCGUGAACCUUUACUAUAGCUUGACACUGAACAUUGAGCCUUGAUGUGUAGGAUAGGUGGGAGGCUUAGAAGUGUGGACGCCAGUCUGCAUGGAGCCGACCUUGAAAUACCACCCUUUAAUGUUUGAUGUUCUAACGUUGACCCGUAAUCCGGGUUGCGGACAGUGUCUGGUGGGUAGUUUGACUGGGGCGGUCUCCUCCUAAAGAGUAACGGAGGAGCACGAAGGUUGGCUAAUCCUGGUCGGACAUCAGGAGGUUAGUGCAAUGGCAUAAGCCAGCUUGACUGCGAGCGUGACGGCGCGAGCAGGUGCGAAAGCAGGUCAUAGUGAUCCGGUGGUUCUGAAUGGAAGGGCCAUCGCUCAACGGAUAAAAGGUACUCCGGGGAUAACAGGCUGAUACCGCCCAAGAGUUCAUAUCGACGGCGGUGUUUGGCACCUCGAUGUCGGCUCAUCACAUCCUGGGGCUGAAGUAGGUCCCAAGGGUAUGGCUGUUCGCCAUUUAAAGUGGUACGCGAGCUGGGUUUAGAACGUCGUGAGACAGUUCGGUCCCUAUCUGCCGUGGGCGCUGGAGAACUGAGGGGGGCUGCUCCUAGUACGAGAGGACCGGAGUGGACGCAUCACUGGUGUUCGGGUUGUCAUGCCAAUGGCACUGCCCGGUAGCUAAAUGCGGAAGAGAUAAGUGCUGAAAGCAUCUAAGCACGAAACUUGCCCCGAGAUGAGUUCUCCCUGACUCCUUGAGAGUCCUGAAGGAACGUUGAAGACGACGACGUU